Sinocyclocheilus anshuiensis is the source of this 2330-nucleotide long non-coding RNA. RefSeq lists it as uncharacterized. The transcript has 4 exons. Lineage: Eukaryota; Metazoa; Chordata; Actinopteri; Cypriniformes; Cyprinidae. The record is from RefSeq and is a predicted model, not a curated record.
AACAUCACAAUGCAAAAUCUACUUAAAACUGGUCCCAGACAGGAUUACCAGGAUUUAUAUUAGGAUUUACGUUUUAUUAUUAUUAUUCCCCCUCUCCUGUCGGCGCUCCACGCAGUAUCCAGAUGGUGGCGGAAAUGCACCUAAGCUGGUUUGCAGACGCCAUUUAAACCUUAGAAGAAGAAUAACAACCGCAUUAGUUGUUUAGAGUUGUGACGAUUGCAAAAAUGGCAAAGAGGUGUGUUUUCGGCUGUUUGUCGAACAAAACCCUUUUCGGUAUCCCACGUCCACCUUGGCUACGGUCCCGCUGGCUUGAGUUUUUGCAUUUUGAAGAGGAAGGGUUAACGGUAAACUCGCGGCUGUGCUCGAGGCAUUUCACGCCCGAGUGUUUCCAGGAUUUAACCCAGCACCAAAUGGGGUUUGCCAGGGUCUUGUAUCUGAAGAACACCGCUGUUCCGUCGGUGUAAACGGUUGGCGCAUCACAAAGUAUGAAGGUAAGUGUAUCUAGAUGGCGUGCUUAUUUUAAUAAUGCAUACCACACGCGUUUUAGCCUUUACUGAUCGGGCAUUUGUCGCGUCUGUCCGACAGCCUCUGACACGGGAUGUGGGCUGCCAGUGUACCGCUCAAACCCCAAAAAAGAGCACCUCGGUUCAAGCCUCGUUCCCAACCCCUAAACCGAAACGACGUAGUAAAGCUGUUCAAGUGAAGUCUUCAGAGCAUGCUGAUAAUGUUUGCGCCCAUCUGGAAACACCGGAGCGCACAUCAACGCCAAUGAAACGGCCGCGAAUGGAAGAAAGCAUCGAGGAUUUCAACGACAGAUCCUCGAUGACCCUGACAGACCCAAAGGAUUUCACCUAAGUAUGAACCUGAAAUCACAGAAGACCAUGAAAGACAUUGUGCCAAACAUGGAAGUCACACAGUGCUGAAUAUGAGUGACAGUGGGGGGGGGACAUUAAAUUAGAAAAAUGAUGCUCUUGGGAAAGCGCGGAUGUGGAGAGAUUCCAUACUGGACAAAAAGCAUCAUAAACCUCCUCUUCUGGUGCACAUCCUUCAAGAUGAGAAGAAGCUGUUGCAAAGUCCAUUGGAUUGCCAGUUAUGUGGAAGAUGUUCACCAUCACAACAGUGAUAUAUUCCCUGACUGCAUCCACACACCUCUAGAGGAGAAAAUGUGGCCGAAACCAGACUGUUGAGACGCUGCUGAGGCUGCUUUCGCGGGAGGCCUUCUUCAAGCCUGGACCAUUCAGGAACAUCUAAACGAAGGUCCCUAGCCACCUGUGUGAUGCUAAUUAGUAGGGAUGUGCAGCGGAGCCAGUAUCUGUAACAAUCACUAAUUUAUUUGUAUCUGAAUACGGAUAAAACCGGAAGUAUGCGGGCUUGAACUGGAAGUUAUGUCUAUGGUUUUACAGCCUUUUUCGUAGUUAUCACUGAACAAAUUUGCUGUGUUUAACUGUAAUAAUUAUUUUUUAUGAUUAGAAUAUUUAUUUAAAUGUCUUCUAACAGUCGGAGCCAUAGACACUAAAAAAAUGGACGACGCACCUUCACUCUCUUCCACUGAAGAAAAGUGAAGCCGCCAGUGUCCCAAUAGGGCGCGGAUAUAUUGUGCUGAUUUGGGACCCGAGUCUGCGCUAGUGAGCGAAGUGGAGCCGCGUCCUGCCCACACUAUACUGCCCACCUGAGUCGAUCCCAAGCACAUGCACCUGAACCUUUUUUAAUUAGCCUGACUGCUCUAAUUUUUGUCUGCCGAUUGCCGUACAAGAGGCUUGUGCUAAAAUAAGGUAAAUGCAACUCAAAUCUCCUCCUGAACAUCCCGAAAAAGUUUGUUGGAGUGAACUGAGGCACCAACGAACUUUUUCGGGAUCUUCAGGAGGAGAUUUGAGUUGACAUUUAAAUAUACACAAAUAGUAGAAUGUGUAUGAUGUUGUAUUUUAGUUGAUAUUCUUGCCAAGCUCUGAUUUCUGAGAGAUGCACGGAGAGGCAACAGCAAUGAUUGAUUUGCGCUCAUUUCAUUCAUAAAGUUUACAUUCAUUCACUUCACACUCAUUAUUGUGUAGUGACUUUAGAGUUUUAUGUAUAAUAUUGCGCUGAUCCCCUGGCUCACCUGUUAUCCAGCAAACACCAGGAGUGACCAUGCCAGCCUCAGCCAAAUAUUAUUCAGCAGAAUUAUCCGUUAUAUAGCCAUUAUCCAUGCCUUUCUGAAUAAGGUAUUCGGCUUCGGGCACAGCCCUGCUAAUUAGAGACCUGAUGUGAAGGAAUCUGUGACCAGACACUGCUUUUGUGUUUAAAAAAAAAAACACUGGUCUCUAAAUUGUGUGUGUGUGUGUGUGUGUGUGUGU